Tachysurus vachellii is the source of this 411-nucleotide non-coding RNA. NCBI's taxonomy places the organism in Eukaryota, Metazoa, Chordata, Actinopteri, Siluriformes, Bagridae. The record is from the annotation of a RefSeq genome assembly.
AUGAUCAAUGUUAUAUUCAUGUGUCUGUGGCUUUUACUAGGUGACUCCAUGGCAGAUUCAAUAGAGACACUUUUCACUCAUAAAGUUGUAGAUGAAGGUGAUGAUGUUACUCUGUCCUGCAAAUACGACUCAAGCUUUACUUCAGGAAACAACUUCCUGCACUGGUACAGACAAUAUCCAAAAUACAAACCUGAGUUCCUUCUUUAUAUUGUUGAUACUGGUGAAAUGAGUCACAACACUCCCGCAAGAAUGUCUGCUAAAGUUAAUAGAGAUAAUAAAGUAGUGGAUCUGAUCAUCUCCUCUGCUGCUGUAUCAGACUCUGCUCUAUACUACUGUGCUCUGGCGCCCACAGUGACAGGAAAUCCAGCUGCACUGUACAAAAACUCACAGACUGCUGUUGUUUGUUUUUGA